GACGAACGCUGGCGGCGUGCUUAACACAUGCAAGUCGAACGGAAAGGCCCUGCUUUUGUGGGGUGCUCGAGUGGCGAACGGGUGAGUAACACGUGAGUAACCUGCCCUUGACUUUGGGAUAACUUCAGGAAACUGGGGCUAAUACCGGAUAGGAGCUCCUGCUGCAUGGUGGGGGUUGGAAAGUUUCGGCGGUUGGGGAUUGACUCGCGGCUUAUCAGCUUGUUGGUGGGGUAGUGGCUUACCAAGGCUUUGACGGGUAGCCGGCCUGAGAGUGGUACCGGGCACAUUGGGACUGAGAUACGGGCCAGACUACUACGGGAGGCAGCAGUGGGGACUAUUGCACAAUGGGCGGAAGCCUGAUGCAGCAACGCCGCGUGCGGGAUGACGGCCUUCGGGUUGUAAACCACUUUCGCCUGUGACGAAGCGUGAGUGACGGUAAUGUGUAAAGAAGCACCGGCUAACUACGUG
RNAcentral lists this ribosomal RNA (468 nucleotides) under uncultured bacterium. RNAcentral describes it as "partial 16S ribosomal RNA". It matches the Rfam family "Bacterial small subunit ribosomal RNA", at positions 28 to 507 of the family's 1533-position model. The record is from RNAcentral.